This 253-nucleotide ribosomal RNA is filed under the name uncultured bacterium. Its description in RNAcentral is "partial 16S ribosomal RNA". It matches the Rfam family "Bacterial small subunit ribosomal RNA", at positions 524 to 776 of the family's 1533-position model. The record is from RNAcentral.
UACGUAGGGGGCUAGCGUUGCUCGGAAUCACUGGGCGUAAAGCGCACGUAGGCGGAUUGCUAAGUCAGGGGUGAAAUCCUGGAGCUCAACUCCAGAACUGCCUUUGAUACUGGUGAUCUUGAGUCCGGGAGAGGUGAGUGGAACUGCGAGUGUAGAGGUGAAAUUCGUAGAUAUUCGCAGGAACACCAGUGGCGAAGGCGGCUCACUGGCCCGGUACUGACGCUGAGGUGCGAAAGCGUGGGGAGCGAACAGG